Lycium ferocissimum is the source of this 3238-nucleotide long non-coding RNA. RefSeq lists it as uncharacterized. NCBI's taxonomy places the organism in Eukaryota, Viridiplantae, Streptophyta, Magnoliopsida, Solanales, Solanaceae. The transcript has 5 exons. The record is from RefSeq and is a predicted model, not a curated record.
ACCCAACAAGUGAGUAACGCAAAGAGUCCAUGACCCGGUUAUUUCCCCAAAUCAACUCUCUUAAAACCCUAGGAAACCGUUGCCCGUGUCGGGUAGCAAUCCUAAAGAUGUCUUAACACCCGCCAUUUGUAUCCAUCCGGGUCGGGUUACACUCCUCGGAUCCAUAACUGAAUCUAGGGUGUGGAGCUGAAAAAGGAAAUGGAGACGAUACGUUUUGUAAUUUCAAACAAGAGUAAAGAGAUAUAGUGAUAUUGGUUCACAGUUUCUAAUGACAUCAUUAAGCAAUAAAUAGACUUGUCUUGCAUUAAAGCAAAUGUUGUGGUCUUAGCAAUUGAUUAGGAAAAUCAAUUCUAAUGGUUCAAAUUCUAUAGGUGGUUGUCACAUUUUCAAGUGUUGAAUUGAACAGUUAGAAUUAGUUUUCAAAUCACUUGCAAAGGCCACAAGAUUGACUUUGAUACAAGAUGAGUCGUUGUGUUGGUUAAGGGCGACAAUGCUUCUUGCAUCGGAUGGCAUGUAAUUCCAGAGAAGAUGAGGUGGCUCUAAGUAGCAUUUUCCGUUUAUUCUCUAUGAGCCGUCAAACAAUCGGGGUGUUAUCUGUCUGGAGUAGUGGUAGUGGUUUGCAAGGUUUGAAUGUUAUUGCUAAUGUAAAGGAUUAUAUUGGGCUGUCAGUUUGGUACAUAAAUGCCUCUUCAAUUGCUAUGUGUGUGUGUGCGUAAUGUGUGUGUGUGAGUGUGCGCUUCGUAGAGAAUCAUAUCAUUUUGUAAAUCUCUUCUUUUUUGGUAUAUCUCUUGUAUACAACCGCUGUGGCCAUGUUUAUGAAUGAAAAUAUACUUGAUUGAAAAAAACAAUCCUUUAUCAUGAUCCCUGCAUAAUCUAGUCCGCAAACCAAAUGGCCCUCAAGGUAUGAAUUCUGUAUGCCUAUUUCCUAUACGAAGACCUUGAGGACAUGCAACAAGUGAGCAGUAAGGCUGGCAUGUCUCUUGGUCAGAUGUCUCUCCAACUCCUUUAAACCAAGUAUUAUUAUAUUCAUGUUGGGAAUCACUCUUUUCAUAAGAAUUGAUAUGUGUGCCAAAUGUACUUGUCAAAUUAUUUGAUCAGUGCAGCGGUAGAUCACAUGUCAUAAAAAAGAUAUGCCAUUAAUUGAAAAUACCUUACAUGUUCCUAAAGAUAAUUUCUUGAAAAAGAUUGUGGUCGGAUUUUGUUAAUUGUCUUUAUCUAUCGCUAUCACAAAUCAAGUGCAAUGACUGACCACUCUUUUAGGAAAUAUCAGCAUAUCUCAGUGUCAACCAGGUUGUACUUUUUGCUUGUUCUGUCCUGUCUGAUCCCAUUGAUUGUGAUUUGUGACCCUUCAGCAGUCGUAUUAUUUGCAUUAGGGUGUAAAAAGGUACUCGAUUGAUCUAUUUUUCUGUGAAUUUGUACUCCUGAUGUUAGGCCAGUUUUACAAUAAUGGUAGCUGGUAGGUUCCAUUCAUACCAUUGUAAUCUCAAUGACCAUCGACUUAGCUUGUGCAGUCACAUUCGUUAGGCGCUUGUAUGAGAGAUAUAUUAACUCAACCACAAAAAUCUGUCAAUCUUAAACAAGAAUCGAGAUAAUCGCUUUUCUAGAGAUGACACACUUUAUAUCGUGAUUUUGGUGUCAAAAGUAGUAAAGGAAAGAUGUAGCUUUAGACGUAGAAAUGGUAGUUUAUUAAUUCAGCAAAAUGUACAUGCAGUUAUAAAGAGGAAGGUAUGACAGAAUUUGCAUCCAACUUUGUCCCACAUCGUCUCAAAAGGAAGAAUUAGUUCUUUCGUUAAUCUAUUUAGCGGUCGCUAAUUAUGAACUUCAACACAUAGCUACUGGGCCCGCCUAAGUGCGGGCCCUUGAUGGCUUGAAUCUUGUCCGUGGGUUUGCUGGCACCUUUGGAUCCAGGAAGUAGUCCACAUUCUCAACUGUGCAUUUGCACAUGAAGCACCAGGUGACAGCUGACAUAUGUGAUCCUUCGCGUUCUCAUGUUCUCGGCUGUCAGCAUUGGACCCGAGCUGCGAAACCAAGCAAAUAAACACACCUUUCUUGGUGCUCAAGGCCUAGACGUGUAACUUUCUUCAUUGUGCCUGGCAUCAUCCACUGUAUUGUGAACCAAUUCAGCAAUCUCACCACAGCCGUGUUGCCACUUUGCAAUGUAACAGGAAGUAGUCCACAUUCUCAACUGUGCAUAGUACAUGAAACACCAGGUGACAGCUGACAUAUGUGAUCCUUUGCAUUCUCAUGUUCUCCGCUGUCAGCAUUGAACCCGCCUGCAAAACCAAGCAAAUAAAACACACCUUUCUUGGUGCUCAAGGUAUCUAAACCAAUAAAUGUGGGGCCACAUUCAAAUUCAAAUAGAAUUGUCUUCUGUAUCAUGCAUUCAAAGGCCGGAACUUGGAAAGCUAAGUGAAAACUGUAUGAGCAAGUUCUUUUUAAUUUAUAGCCAUACAAGUGUUUGGGAUCUCAUAACAUUUUUGGGAGGAGUAUAUGACAUUCAUAACAUUUUUUUAUUAUUUCUUUUUAAUUUAUACCCGUACAUCUCUUCUCCUUAUCCCCUAGGCCUAGCUGUGUAACCUUCUUUAUUGUUCUUGGCAUCGUCCACUGUUUUGCGAACCAAUUCAACCGUCUCACCAAAGUUGUGUUGCUACUUUGCCAUGUAACAGGAAGUAACCCACAUUCUCAACUGUGCAUUUGCACAUGAAGCACCCGGUGACAACUGAUAUAUGUGAUCCUUCGAGUUCUCAUGUUCUCGGCUGUCAACACUGGACCCGAGCUGCGAAAUAAGCAAAUAAACACACCUUCUUGGUGCUCAAGGUAUCUAAUCCAAUAAAUGUGGAUCACUCAUUUAAAUUAAAAUAGAAUUUUCUUUAUCAUGCAUUCAAAGGUUGAAACUUGGAAGCAAAGUUUGGCUGUUGAAACUUGGAAGCAAAGUUUGGCUAAGUCAAACUUGUAUGAGAAAAUUCUUUUUCAUUUGUACUUGUACUUUUUCUGAGGGGAAGGUCUACCGGAAACAGCCUCUCUACCCCCACAAAGGUAGAGGUAAGGUCUGCGUGCAUCCUCCCUUCCUAGACCCCACUUGUGGGAUCACACUGGGUUUGUUGGUGUGUGUGGUGGUGUAGCCAUACAAUUGUUUGAGAUUUCAUAACAUUUCUGGUACGAGUAUAUGGUGGAUAUGCCCUUUCUCUCACUCAUUUAACUGACUGAUUUAUGUACAUGUAUGCAGGAGGAUAGGUAU